This 231-nucleotide long non-coding RNA is filed under the name Elaeis guineensis (African oil palm). RNAcentral's name for it is "long non-coding RNA (EGUI_LNC079355)". Lineage: Eukaryota; Viridiplantae; Streptophyta; Magnoliopsida; Arecales; Arecaceae. The record is from RNAcentral.
GUAGGGGUGCCAAUUGUGAUAUUUCCUAUAUAGAUGAAAAGUAAAUGAAAAAUUAUAAUUAUUAUAUUUUUUAAUUUAAAUCAGAUUAUGCAUAUAUUUUUAUAUAUUUUAGAUCAUUAAAAUAUUAUAUUUGAUAUAUUGUUUGACACACGAUCUAAAAUUUAAUUUCUAUAAAAUUCUAGAUCUAAAACCCUAGGCUUUAUUUGCAUGAGAGCAUGAAACUGUGACUGA